This 78-nucleotide transfer RNA is filed under the name Yersinia pestis Angola. RNAcentral describes it as "tRNA-Phe". It matches the Rfam family "tRNA". Rfam says of the family: Transfer RNA (tRNA) molecules are approximately 80 nucleotides in length. Their secondary structure includes four short double-helical elements and three loops (D, anti-codon, and T loops). Lineage: Bacteria; Pseudomonadati; Pseudomonadota; Gammaproteobacteria; Enterobacterales; Yersiniaceae. The record is from RNAcentral. RNAcentral also lists the same sequence under 7 other names.
UGCCCGGAUAGCUCAGUCGGUAGAGCAGGGGAUUGAAAAUCCCCGUGUCCUUGGUUCGAUUCCGAGUCCGGGCACCAU